This 355-nucleotide long non-coding RNA is filed under the name Nicotiana benthamiana. RNAcentral's name for it is "long non-coding RNA (NBEN_LNC023975)". Lineage: Eukaryota; Viridiplantae; Streptophyta; Magnoliopsida; Solanales; Solanaceae. The record is from RNAcentral.
UAUUAAAUAGUUGUCUCAUGUAGGAGAAAUUAAACCACACAUGGAAUAUAUAGGCUUAAUUCGGACAGUAGCUGAAUCUGCAAUUACAUGCUUGCUAAUUUUAUUAUGCUCGAGAUUACUUCUGUUACACAUAGUUCCAAUGCUUAAUGCAGAAUUACGGUUUGGAAUGUCAGUCUUAAAUUUAGGAGGCCGUUCAUGAAGAAUAUUACGCUUAUCUCCAUAAGAGGGGCUCACGCAAAUCUUCAAAACUAUGAGUAUUAAAUUUAAGAGGAUGUUCAUGAAGAAUAUUACGCAUUUCCAUAAGAAGGGCUCACGCAAAUCUUCAAAACUAUGGCUUUGGACACAUGCACGAUGC